RNAcentral lists this ribosomal RNA (433 nucleotides) under uncultured bacterium. RNAcentral's name for it is "partial 16S ribosomal RNA". It matches the Rfam family "Bacterial small subunit ribosomal RNA", at positions 29 to 507 of the family's 1533-position model. The record is from RNAcentral.
AACGAACGCUGGCGGCAUGCCUAACACAUGCAAGUCGAACGAUGCCUCCGGGCAUAGUGGCGCACGGGUGCGUAACGCGUGGGAAUCUGCCCUUGGGUUCGGAAUAACUCGCCGAAAGGCGAGCUAAUACCGGAUGAUGACGUAAGUCCAAAGAUUUAUCGCACAAGGAUGAGCCCGCGUAGGAUUAGCUAGUUGGUGGGGUAAAGGCCCACCAAGGCGACGAUCCUUAGCUGGUCUGAGAGGAUGAUCAGCCACACUGGGACUGAGACACGGCCCAGACUCCUACGGGAGGCAGCAGUGGGGAAUAUUGGACAGUGGGCGAAAGCCUGAUCCAGCAAUGCCGCGUGAGUGAUGAAGGCCUUAGGGUUGUAAAGCUCUUUUACCCGGGAUGAUAAUGACAGUACCGGGAGAAUAAGCUCCGGCUAACUCCGUG